AUUGAACGCUGGCGGCAUGCUUUACACAUGCAAGUCGAACGGUAGAGGGGGCAACCCCUUGAGAGUGGCGAACGGGUGAGUAAUGCAUCGGAACGUGCCCAGUCGUGGGGGAUAGCCCGGGGAAACCCGGAUUAAUACCGCAUACGACCUGAGGGUGAAAGCGGGGGACCGAAAGGCCUCGCGCGAUUGGAGCGGCCGAUGUCGGAUUAGGUAGUUGGUGGGGUAAAGGCCUACCAAGCCUGCGAUCCGUAGCUGGUCUGAGCGGACGACCAGCCACACUGGGACUGGGACACGGCCCAGACUCCUACGGGAGGCAGCAGUGGGGAAUUUUGGACAAUGGGCGCAAGCCUGAUCCAGCCAUGCCGCGUGCGGGAAGAAGGCCUUCGGGUUGUAAACCGCUUUUGUCAGGGAAGAAAUCCUUUGGACUAAUACUCUGGGGGGAUGACGGUACCUGAAGAAUAAGCACCGGCUAACUACGUGCCAGCAGCCGCGGUAA
RNAcentral lists this ribosomal RNA (496 nucleotides) under uncultured bacterium. Its description in RNAcentral is "partial 16S ribosomal RNA". It matches the Rfam family "Bacterial small subunit ribosomal RNA", at positions 29 to 523 of the family's 1533-position model. The record is from RNAcentral.